Molecule: long non-coding RNA, 301 nt
Organism: Oncorhynchus tshawytscha (Chinook salmon)
Lineage: Eukaryota; Metazoa; Chordata; Actinopteri; Salmoniformes; Salmonidae
Source: Ensembl
UGAAAGCCUUGGCCAGGUCGAUGAGGAUGUGGUGAUUGACAGAGUCGAAAGCCUUGGCCAGGUCGAUGAGGAUGUGGUGAUUGACAGAGUUGAAAGCCUUGGCCAGGUCGAUGAGGAUGUGGUGAUUGACAGAGUUGAAAGCCUUGGCCAGGUCGAUGAGGAUGUGGUGAUUGACAGAGUUGAAAGCCUUGGCCAGGUCGAUGAGGAUGUGGUGAUUGACAGAGUUGAAAGCCUUGGCCAGGUCGAUGAAGAUUGCUGCACAGUGUACUGUCUUUUGUCGAUGGCGGUUAUGAUAUCAUUU